This 904-nucleotide ribosomal RNA is filed under the name uncultured Bacillota bacterium. RNAcentral's name for it is "bacterial SSU rRNA". It matches the Rfam family "Bacterial small subunit ribosomal RNA", at positions 13 to 893 of the family's 1533-position model. Lineage: Bacteria; Bacillati; Bacillota. The record is from RNAcentral.
UUGAUUAUGGCUCAGGACGAACGCUGGCGGCGUGCUUAACACAUGCAAGUCGAACGGGGUGUUUAUUUCGGUAAACACCAAGUGGCGAACGGGUGAGUAACGCGUAAGCAAUCUACCUUCAAGAUGGGGACAACACUUCGAAAGGGGUGCUAAUACCGAAUGAAUGUAAGAGUAUCGCAUGAGACACUUACUAAAGGAGGCCUCUGACAUAAGCUUCCGCUUGAAGAUGAGCUUGCGUCUGAUUAGCUAGUUGGUGAGGGUAAAGGCCCACCAAGGCGACGAUCAGUAGCCGGUCUGAGAGGAUGAACGGCCACAUUGGGACUGAGACACGGCCCAGACUCCUACGGGAGGCAGCAGUGGGGAAUCUUCCGCAAUGGGCGAAAGCCUGACGGAGCAACGCCGCGUGAACGAUGAAGGUCUUAGGAUCGUAAAGUUCUGUUGUUAGGGACGAAGGGUAAGGAUCAUAAUAAGGUUUUUAUUUGACGGUACCUAACGAGGAAGCCACGGCUAACUACGUGCCAGCAGCCGCGGUAAUACGUAGGCGGCAAGCGUUGUCCGGAAUUAUUGGGCGUAAAGGGAGCGCAGGCGGGAAACUAAGCGGAUCUUAAAAGUGCGGGGCUCAACCCCGUGAUGGGGUCCGAACUGGUUUUCUUGAGUGCAGGAGAGGAAAGCGGAAUUCCCAGUGUAGCGGUGAAAUGCGUAGAUAUUGGGAAGAACACCAGUGGCGAAGGCGGCUUUCUGGACUGUAACUGACGCUGAGGCUCGAAAGCUAGGGUAGCGAACGGGAUUAGAUACCCCGGUAGUCCUAGCCGUAAACGAUGGAUACUAGGUGUGGGAGGUAUCGACUCCUUCCGUGCCGGAGUUAACGCAAUAAGUAUCCCGCCUGGGGAGUACGGCCGCAAGG